Molecule: ribosomal RNA, 1554 nt
Filed under: Salmonella enterica subsp. enterica serovar Gallinarum
Lineage: Bacteria; Pseudomonadati; Pseudomonadota; Gammaproteobacteria; Enterobacterales; Enterobacteriaceae
Also listed under: 2 other names
Description: bacterial SSU rRNA
Rfam family: Bacterial small subunit ribosomal RNA
Source: RNAcentral
AAAUUGAAGAGUUUGAUCAUGGCUCAGAUUGAACGCUGGCGGCAGGCCUAACACAUGCAAGUCGAACGGUAACAGGAAGCAGCUUGCUGCUUUGCUGACGAGUGGCGGACGGGUGAGUAAUGUCUGGGAAACUGCCUGAUGGAGGGGGAUAACUACUGGAAACGGUGGCUAAUACCGCAUAACGUCGCAAGACCAAAGAGGGGGACCUUCGGGCCUCUUGCCAUCAGAUGUGCCCAGAUGGGAUUAGCUUGUUGGUGAGGUAACGGCUCACCAAGGCGACGAUCCCUAGCUGGUCUGAGAGGAUGACCAGCCACACUGGAACUGAGACACGGUCCAGACUCCUACGGGAGGCAGCAGUGGGGAAUAUUGCACAAUGGGCGCAAGCCUGAUGCAGCCAUGCCGCGUGUAUGAAGAAGGCCUUCGGGUUGUAAAGUACUUUCAGCGGGGAGGAAGGUGUUGUGGUUAAUAACCGCAGCAAUUGACGUUACCCGCAGAAGAAGCACCGGCUAACUCCGUGCCAGCAGCCGCGGUAAUACGGAGGGUGCAAGCGUUAAUCGGAAUUACUGGGCGUAAAGCGCACGCAGGCGGUCUGUCAAGUCGGAUGUGAAAUCCCCGGGCUCAACCUGGGAACUGCAUUCGAAACUGGCAGGCUUGAGUCUUGUAGAGGGGGGUAGAAUUCCAGGUGUAGCGGUGAAAUGCGUAGAGAUCUGGAGGAAUACCGGUGGCGAAGGCGGCCCCCUGGACAAAGACUGACGCUCAGGUGCGAAAGCGUGGGGAGCAAACAGGAUUAGAUACCCUGGUAGUCCACGCCGUAAACGAUGUCUACUUGGAGGUUGUGCCCUUGAGGCGUGGCUUCCGGAGCUAACGCGUUAAGUAGACCGCCUGGGGAGUACGGCCGCAAGGUUAAAACUCAAAUGAAUUGACGGGGGCCCGCACAAGCGGUGGAGCAUGUGGUUUAAUUCGAUGCAACGCGAAGAACCUUACCUGGUCUUGACAUCCACAGAAGAAUCCAGAGAUGGAUUUGUGCCUUCGGGAACUGUGAGACAGGUGCUGCAUGGCUGUCGUCAGCUCGUGUUGUGAAAUGUUGGGUUAAGUCCCGCAACGAGCGCAACCCUUAUCCUUUGUUGCCAGCGAUUAGGUCGGGAACUCAAAGGAGACUGCCAGUGAUAAACUGGAGGAAGGUGGGGAUGACGUCAAGUCAUCAUGGCCCUUACGACCAGGGCUACACACGUGCUACAAUGGCGCAUACAAAGAGAAGCGACCUCGCGAGAGCAAGCGGACCUCAUAAAGUGCGUCGUAGUCCGGAUUGGAGUCUGCAACUCGACUCCAUGAAGUCGGAAUCGCUAGUAAUCGUGGAUCAGAAUGCCACGGUGAAUACGUUCCCGGGCCUUGUACACACCGCCCGUCACACCAUGGGAGUGGGUUGCAAAAGAAGUAGGUAGCUUAACCUUCGGGAGGGCGCUUACCACUUUGUGAUUCAUGACUGGGGUGAAGUCGUAACAAGGUAACCGUAGGGGAACCUGCGGUUGGAUCACCUCCUUACCUGAAAGAAGC